AUUGAACGCUGGCGGCGUGCCUAACACAUGCAAGUCGAGCGGUAACAGGUGUAGCAAUACAUGCUGACGAGCGGCGAACGGGUGAGUAAUGCUUCGGAAUCUACCUUAUGGUGGGAAGUAACUAGCCGAAGGUUAGCUAAUACCGCAUACGUCCUACGGAGAAAGACAGGGGAGUCGUAAGACCUUGCGCCAAAAGAAUGAGCCGAAGUCGGAUUAGCUAGUUGGUAGGGUAACGGCCGACCAAGGCGACGAUCCGUAGCUGGUCUGAGAGGACGACCAGCCACACUGGGACUGAGACACGGCCCAGACUCCUACGGGAGGGCAGCAGUGGGGAAGUCUUGCGCAAUGGGCGAAAGCCUGACGCAGCGACGCCGCGUGAGGGAUGACGG
Molecule: ribosomal RNA, 389 nt
Filed under: uncultured bacterium
Lineage: Bacteria
Description: bacterial SSU rRNA
Rfam family: Bacterial small subunit ribosomal RNA
Source: RNAcentral